Long non-coding RNA from Hylaeus anthracinus, 1679 nucleotides. RefSeq lists it as uncharacterized. The transcript has 4 exons. NCBI's taxonomy places the organism in Eukaryota, Metazoa, Arthropoda, Insecta, Hymenoptera, Colletidae. The record is from RefSeq and is a predicted model, not a curated record.
UCUAGGAAAACGUAUCGGAUCAUGUAAAAGAAUAGAACGGACGAUUCCCACGAAAACGCGACACUUUUAACGCUGGAAAUGGUUGCGCUUGUGCAUUCGAAUCCAUUGCGAUAGAGAUUGGUUCGUGGACUUGGAAGAUCGAUCCCACGGAGCCCUACGAAAAACACGAACAAAGUUUUUCUCUAAAGUGAAAACUUAAUUCGUUUAAAAAUGGAAGAAUUCUUUCAAGAAUUUUCAAUCCCACUGUCGAUUUUGUCGAACGGAAGGCACGCGUGUCCUUACGAAUCAUCUUCGUGGUCUGGUUUUGGUUUGUCACUCAAAUUAUGCUGCAUUCGAGUGCACCCACCCACGGGGGAAUCGCGGAACUUCUUGAUCCCUAUUCAGAUUACAUUCAGGCAUCCCUUUAACGCUGGAGAUACGGCCGGGGUACACAGGAAUGAAAGAGCUCGUUAGAACAUAAGCACAGCUGCGUGUGCGCCGCUAAUAUUUGUACUAGUCGCCCGUUCAAAAUGCUGGAAACUAAUUGUUGUAGAAUCGAACGCGCCCCGAAUGAAAAAGAUUGCUUAGAACGUUGAGAGAAUGUUCAAAUUGGACAGAAAGAGCAGAAGAUACCGUACCGACUUGGAGACAAUGUUUAGGCUAGAGGUAAGAGGUCCCAUGACCUCCACGUUCCAUUAUAAAUUGGCGUCCGUAUAACGACACGAUUGUAAUCUGUAUAUAAACAUUGAGCUGUAGACGCUAAUUGGCGAGGAAGCGCGGAAAGACAUAUCCCAAACGAAGAGGACACCGCACUCGGAACACGUGCGACACAGAUCCCUCCUCUGUUCCCUCAGCGGCGUGGAUCGCAAGGUUGCGGACUGAUAAAGACGCAGAAAAAAGGGGUCUAUCGGCGGGACAAAAACGGCCUGAGAAAGGAAGAGAUCAGAUAGAGAACGACGGGAACCCACGGGAAAGAAUGAAGGAACAGAGGAGAGGAGGAAGAGACAAAGAAUUCCUUGGAGGUAUUUGUCUUUUUUUUCCUGGCCGUUCUGGGUCGGACCUCUUCCGAGUUUUUUCUCCAGCCGGCGUAAAGGGUGAUGAUAUGCAUAUGUUCCGAGCGGACGAGGCCCCGGGAGCCGGAGUCAUGCGCGAGAGCUUUCUUCCAGGGGUUUCCCAGUGUAGCGGACAGACGAAUGGAAUUUGUUUUGACGAAUAAAAAGACAUUGAUAAAUCGGGGAAGGUCGAUAGACGUGAGCGCAAAAACGGGAUCCUCGCUGAAAACUGUAGUUUACAGAUGAGACAAAAGGCUGAAUAACUUCUGGAAUUCUCCACAAAUGCACGCGGACUGCACCCAAGACUGGAUUCCAAAAUGAUUUCGUGUUCGGUUAUAUCCAGUAUUUUGGCGGGGGUUGCGCGAUGCCUUUACUUCUCCGUCAUUUAGAAGCUUAAAUAGUUGAUUAGUUAAAUCUUAAGUAGUCUUCGAUUAUGAUAACAAACAUAUUAGCAUACACACAUGUGUAUCUAGCUACAGUCAUUACUUUAGGUUCACUUAAGUAAUUAAUUAGGUUCACUUGUUGAGAGUUAAAAUUGUAUUAAAAUGGAGACUGAGUUGAUUAAUUGAUAAUUGAAUUAGAAUACAAACUAAAUCAAUGAACUGCAUACAUGUGUAUGUUUACCUACAGUGAAUAGCUAAGUGUACA